This 468-nucleotide ribosomal RNA is filed under the name uncultured bacterium. RNAcentral describes it as "partial 16S ribosomal RNA". It matches the Rfam family "Bacterial small subunit ribosomal RNA", at positions 28 to 507 of the family's 1533-position model. The record is from RNAcentral.
GACGAACGCUGGCGGCGUGCUUAACACAUGCAAGUCGAACGGAAAGGCCCUGCUUUUGUGGGGUGCUCGAGUGGCGAACGGGUGAGUAACACGUGAGUAACCUGCCCCUGACUUUGGGAUAACUUCAGGAAACUGGGGCUAAUACCGGAUAGGAUCUCCUGCUGCACGGUGGGGGUUGGAAAGUUUCGGCGGUUUGGGAUGGACUCGCGGCUUAUCAGCUUGUUUGUGGGGUAGUGGCUUACCAAGGCUUUGACGGGUAGCCGGCCUGAGAGGGUGGCCGGGGACAUUGGGCCUAAGGGACGGCUCAGUCGCCUACGGGACGCAACGGGGGUGAAUAUUACGCAAUGAGGGGGAGUGCGUUGCGGCAACCUCCCGUUCGGGAUGACGGCCUUCGGGUUAAAAACCGCUUUCGCCUGUGACGAAGCGUGAGUGACGGUAAUGGGUAAAGAAGCACCGGCUAACUACGUG